This 471-nucleotide ribosomal RNA is filed under the name uncultured bacterium. Its description in RNAcentral is "SSU rRNA". It matches the Rfam family "Bacterial small subunit ribosomal RNA", at positions 26 to 518 of the family's 1533-position model. The record is from RNAcentral.
AGGACGAACGCUGGCGGCGUGCUUAACACAUGCAAGUCGAGCGGAAAGGCCCUUCGGGGUACUCGAGCGGCGAACGGGUGAGUAACACGUGAGUAAUCUGCCCCUAGCUCUGGGAUAGCUCCGGGAAACCGGGAUUAAUACCGGAUGUGGUCACAACGGGACAUCCCGAUGUGAAAAAAGGCGCAAGCCGCUCGAUGACGGGCUCGCGGCCUAUUAGCUUGUUGGUGGGGUAACGGCCUACCAAGGCGACGAUGGGUAGCUGGUCUGAGAGGACGAUCAGCCACACUGGGACUGAGACACGGCCCAGACUCCUACGGGAGGCAGCAGUUAGGAAUUUUCCGCAAUGGGCGAAAGCCUGACGGAGCAACGCCGCGUGUGUGAUGAAGACCUUCGGGUUGUAAGCACUGUCGGAGGGAGAAUGAAUGACGGUACCCUCCAAGAAAGCCCGGCUAACUACGCGCCAGCAGCCGC